RNAcentral lists this ribosomal RNA (497 nucleotides) under uncultured bacterium. RNAcentral's name for it is "partial 16S ribosomal RNA". It matches the Rfam family "Bacterial small subunit ribosomal RNA", at positions 28 to 507 of the family's 1533-position model. The record is from RNAcentral.
GAUGAACGCUGGCGGCGUGCCUAAUACAUGCAAGUCGAGCGAACAGACGAGGAGCUUGCUCCUUCGACGUUAGCGGCGGACGGGUGAGUAACACGUAGGUAACCUACCUAUAAGACUGGGAUAACUUCGGGAAACCGGAGCUAAUACCGGAUAAUAUUUCGAACCGCAUGGUUCGAUAGUGAAAGAUGGCUUUGCUAUCACUUAUAGAUGGACCUGCGCCGUAUUAGCUAGUUGGUAAGGUAACGGCUUACCAAGGCAACGAUACGUAGCCGACCUGAGAGAGUGGUCGGCCACACGAGACCUGAGACACGGUCCAGACUCCUACGGGAGGCAGCAGUAGGGAAUCUUCCGCAAUGGGCGAAAGCCUGACGGAGCAACGCCGCGUGAGUGAUGAAGGUCUUCGGAUCGUAAAACUCUGUUAUUAGGGAAGAACAAACGUGUAAGUAACUGUGCACGUCUUGACGGUACCUAAUCAGAAAGCCACGGCUAACUACGUG